RNAcentral lists this ribosomal RNA (142 nucleotides) under Manekia sydowii. RNAcentral describes it as "partial 5.8S ribosomal RNA". It matches the Rfam family "5.8S ribosomal RNA", at positions 1 to 136 of the family's 154-position model. Rfam says of the family: 5.8S ribosomal RNA (5.8S rRNA) is a component of the large subunit of the eukaryotic ribosome. It is transcribed by RNA polymerase I as part of the 45S precursor that also contains 18S and 28S rRNA. Functionally, it is thought that 5.8S rRNA may be involved in ribosome translocation. The record is from RNAcentral. Lineage: Eukaryota; Viridiplantae; Streptophyta; Magnoliopsida; Piperales; Piperaceae.
AUACGACUCUCGGCAACGGAUAUCUCGGCUCUCGCAUCGAUGAAGAACGUAGCGAAAUGCGAUACUUGGUGCGAAUUGCAGAAUCCCGUGAACCAUCGAGUCUUUGAACGCAAGUUGCGCCCGAGGCCUUUAGGUCGAGGGC